UACGGAGGGUGCAAGCGUUAAUCGGAAUUACUGGGCGUAAAGCGUGCGCAGGCGGUUUGUUAAGUCCGCUGUGAAAUCCCCGGGCUCAACCUGGGAACUGCAUCUGUGACUGCAUAGCUAGAGUACGGUAGAGGGGGAUGGAAUUCCGCGUGUAGCAGUGAAAUGCGUAGAUAUGCGGAGGAACACCGAUGGCGAAGGCAAUCCCCUGGACCUGUACUGACGCUCAUGCACGAAAGCGUGGGGAGCAAACAGG
This 253-nucleotide ribosomal RNA is filed under the name uncultured bacterium. Its description in RNAcentral is "partial 16S ribosomal RNA". It matches the Rfam family "Bacterial small subunit ribosomal RNA", at positions 524 to 776 of the family's 1533-position model. The record is from RNAcentral.